This 462-nucleotide ribosomal RNA is filed under the name uncultured bacterium. RNAcentral describes it as "bacterial SSU rRNA". It matches the Rfam family "Bacterial small subunit ribosomal RNA", at positions 8 to 518 of the family's 1533-position model. The record is from RNAcentral.
AGAGUUUGAUCAUGGCUCAGAGCGAACGCUGGCGGCAGGCUAACACAUGCAAGUCGAGCGCCCCGCAAGGGGAGCGGCAGACGGGAGAGUAACACGUGGGAACAUACCUUUUGGUUCGGAACAACUGAGGGAAACUUCAGCUAAUACCGGAUAAGCCCUUACGGGGAAAGAUUUAUCGCCGAAAGAUUGGCCCGCGUCUGAUUAGCUAGUUGGUGAGGUAACGGCUCACCAAGGCGACGAUCAGUAGCUGGUCUGAGAGGAUGAUCAGCCUCAUUGGGACUGAGACACGGCCCAAACUCCUACGGGAGGCAGCAGUGGGGAAUAUUGGACAAUGGGCGCAAAGCCUGAUCCAGCCAUGCCGCGUGAGUGAUGAAGGCCUUAGGGUUGUAAAGCUCUUUUAACGGGGAAGAUAAUGACGGUACCCGUAGAAUAAGCCCCGGCUAACUUCGUGCCAGCCGCGGC